RNAcentral lists this ribosomal RNA (258 nucleotides) under Salmonella enterica subsp. enterica serovar Infantis. Its description in RNAcentral is "partial 16S ribosomal RNA". It matches the Rfam family "Bacterial small subunit ribosomal RNA", at positions 1 to 257 of the family's 1533-position model. The record is from RNAcentral. RNAcentral also lists the same sequence under 2 other names. Lineage: Bacteria; Pseudomonadati; Pseudomonadota; Gammaproteobacteria; Enterobacterales; Enterobacteriaceae.
AAAUUGAAGAGUUUGAUCAUGGCUCAGAUUGAACGCUGGCGGCAGGCCUAACACAUGCAAGUCGAACGGUAGCACAGAGAGCUUGCUCUCGGGUGACGAGUGGCGGACGGGUGAGUAAUGUCUGGGAAACUGCCUGAUGGAGGGGGAUAACUACUGGAAACGGUGGCUAAUACCGCAUAACGUCGCAAGACCAAAGAGGGGGACCUUCGGGCCUCUUGCCAUCAGAUGUGCCCAGAUGGGAUUAGCUUGUUGGUGAGG